GCUGAACUUAAGCAUAUCAAUAAGCGGAGGAAAAGAAACUAACAAGGAUUCCCCUAGUAACUGCGAGUGAAGCGGGAAAAGCUCAAAUUUAAAAUCUGGCGGUCUAUGGCUGUCCGAGUUGUAAUCUAGAGAAGUAAUGCCCGCGCUGGACCGUGUACAAGUCUCCUGGAAUGGAGCGUCAUAGAGGGUGAGAAUCCCGUCUUUGACACGGACUACCAGGGCUUUGUGGUAUGCUCUCAAAGAGUCGAGUUGUUUGGGAAUGCAGCUCUAAAUGGGUGGUAAAUUCCAUCUAAAGCUAAAUAUUGGCGAGAGACCGAUAGCGAACAAGUACCGUGAGGGAAAGAUGAAAAGAACUUUGGAAAGAGAGUUAAACAGUACGUGAAAUUGCUGAAAGGGAAACGCUUGAAGUCAGUCGCGUUGACUAGAACUCAGCUUCACUUUUGUGGGGUGUACUUUUUAGUUGACGGGUCAGCAUCAAUUCUGACUGCUGGAAAAAGGCUUAGGGAAUGUGGCAGCUCCGGCUGUGUUAUAGCCCUUUGUCACAUACAGCUGUUGGGAUUGAGGAACUCAGCACGCCGCAAGGCCGGGUUUCGACCACGUUCGUGCUUAGGAUGCUGGCAUAAUGGCUUUAAGCGACCCGUCUUGAAACACGGACCAAGGAGUCUAACAUGCCUGCGAGUGUUUGGGUGGUAAACCCGAGCGCGUMMUGAAAGUGAAAGUUGAGAUCCCUGUCGUGGGGAGCAUCGACGCCCGGACCUGACCUUUUGUGACGGAUCCGCGGUAGAGCAUGUAUGUUGGGACCCGAAAGAUGGUGAACUAUGCCUGAAUAGGGUGAAGCCAGAGGAAACUCUGGUGGAGGCUCGUAGCGAUUCUGACGUGCAAAUCGAUCGUCAAAUUUGGGUAUAGGGGCGA
RNAcentral lists this ribosomal RNA (912 nucleotides) under Apioperdon pyriforme. Its description in RNAcentral is "eukaryotic LSU rRNA". It matches the Rfam family "Eukaryotic large subunit ribosomal RNA", at positions 27 to 926 of the family's 3401-position model. The record is from RNAcentral. Lineage: Eukaryota; Fungi; Basidiomycota; Agaricomycetes; Agaricales; Lycoperdaceae.